AAUGGCCUAAGGGCUGAACCAGUAACUUGAACGAAUGAAUAAUGAGUAAUUAUAUAAAGUUCUAGGCAUAAAGGAAUAAUGACUAUUUAUUGUCUAUAAGUAUUGACCAAAUUACGUGCCAGCAGUCGCGGUAAUACGUAGAAUACAAGUGUUAUUCAUGUUUAAUCGGUUUAAAGGGUACCUAGACGGGAAAUCAAACCAUAAAAGGUACUAGUUUCCUUGAGUUUUAUAAGAGAGAAAAGAAUUAUUAGAGGAGAGAUGAAAUUCAGUAAUACUAAUAGGACUGGGUACGGCGAAGGCAUUUUUCUAUGUAAAAACUGACGUUGAGGGACGAAGCCUGGGGUAACGAUAAGGAUUAGAUACCGUAAUAGUCCCAGGAGACAAUUAUGAAUGCCAUAGGCUCGUUAUGUUAGCUUAUAAAUGAAAGUGUAAGCAUUUCACCUUACAAGUACAGCGGCAACGCCGAAACUGAAAUCAUUAGACCGUUACUGAAAACAGUAGUGAAGUAUGUUAUUUAAUUCGAUGAUCCGCGAAUAACCUUACCACAAUUUGAAUAAUAUUAAUAUAUUACAAGUGCUGCACGGCUGUCUUCAGUUAAUGUCGUGAGAUUCUGGUUAGAUCC
Molecule: ribosomal RNA, 622 nt
Filed under: Pyrenula laevigata
Lineage: Eukaryota; Fungi; Ascomycota; Eurotiomycetes; Pyrenulales; Pyrenulaceae
Description: SSU rRNA
Rfam family: Bacterial small subunit ribosomal RNA
Source: RNAcentral